AACUUGUUGUCUAUUGUGUUCUGUUAGAUUUUUCCCUGUUGAAGACUAACGAUAAUUUGUUGUAUAUUAUCUUAGUCAUAAUAUUCUUUACUGGGCUAGUUGAGCUCACCCUUUUCCUUUUUGUUCUAUUUUUCUUCUCAGGAGGUGAGAACAUAGCAGGAUCGAGUCGGGGUAUGGAGUGAUGGUUCUAGGAAGAUGUUUUAGCUGUCCUCACUAUUUCUGUAAAAUAGUGUAUGAAUAAUUA
Molecule: long non-coding RNA, 244 nt
Filed under: Panax ginseng (ginseng)
Lineage: Eukaryota; Viridiplantae; Streptophyta; Magnoliopsida; Apiales; Araliaceae
Description: long non-coding RNA (PGIN_LNC004335)
Source: RNAcentral